AGCUCAGUGGUAGAGCAGCGGUUUCGUAAACCGAAACUGCUUGGUCCGAAUCUGGCA
This 57-nucleotide transfer RNA is filed under the name Chloroflexota bacterium. RNAcentral's name for it is "Chloroflexi bacterium (marine sediment metagenome) tRNA-Thr". The record is from RNAcentral. Lineage: Bacteria; Bacillati; Chloroflexota.